Molecule: ribosomal RNA, 253 nt
Filed under: uncultured bacterium
Lineage: Bacteria
Description: partial 16S ribosomal RNA
Rfam family: Bacterial small subunit ribosomal RNA
Source: RNAcentral
UACGGAGGGUGCAAGCGUUAUCCGGAUUCACUGGGUUUAAAGGGUGCGUAGGUGGAUUGGUAAGUCAGUGGUGAAAUCUCCGGGCUUAACCCGGAAAGGUCAGCCGAUACUGCGGGGCUAGAGUGCAGAAGGGGCAACUGGAAUUCUCGGUGUAGCGGUGAAAUGCGUAGAUAUCGAGAGGAACACCUGCGGCGAAGGCGGGUUGCUGGGCCAACACUGACGCUGAUGCGCGAAAGCCAGGGGAGCGAACGGG